Molecule: ribosomal RNA, 608 nt
Filed under: uncultured bacterium
Lineage: Bacteria
Description: bacterial SSU rRNA
Rfam family: Bacterial small subunit ribosomal RNA
Source: RNAcentral
CCUACGGGAGGCAGCAGUAAGGAAUAUUGGUCAAUGGAGGCAGCUCUGAACCAGCCAUGCCGCGUGCAGGAAGACAGCCCUAUGGGUCGUAAACUGCUUUUAUACGGGAAUAAACUUUGAUUCGUGAAUCAAGCUGAAUGUACCGUAAGAAUAAGGAUCGGCUAACUCCGUGCCAGCAGCCGCGGUAAUACGGAGGAUCCAAGCGUUAUCCGGAUUUAUUGGGUUUAAAGGGAGCGUAGGCGGCCUAUUAAGUCAGGGGUGAAAGACGGUGGCUCAACCAUCGCAGUGCCUUUGAUACUGAUGGGCUUGAAUAUAGUUGAGGUAGCGGAAUGUGACAAGUAGCGGUGAAAUGCAUAGAUAUGUCACAGAACACCGAUUGCGAAGGCAGCUUACUAAGCUAUGAUUGACGCUGAGGCUCGAAAGCGUGGGGAUCAAACAGGAUUAGAUACCCUGGUAGUCCACGCCUAAACGAUGAUAACUCGAUGUUGGCGUAUAUACAGUCAGCGUCCAAGCGAAAGCGUUAAGUAUCACCUGGGAGUACGCCCGCAAGGUGAAACUCGAAAGGAUUGACGGCGNGAGAGNGCGAGGACGACGACGAGGGGAGGAGG